AAACUGAUAAAUGAAAAAUCGAUGACAAGCGACCAAAUAAGCAAGCUACGUGAAGUGACCAGUCAGCAGUCCAACAAGUUGUCUGCAGAGCCGUCUGCUCAGUGAGAGCAAACAACUGAUAGAACUUCUGAGGUAGAAGGCAACAUGAGUUUUGCCCACCUGCAUCCCCUCGAUUCCUCAUAGUCAUUGCUGAGCGAAGUCUUCACCCAGUUUAUGAUGGGGGUUUCGAUGGCCAAAAUGGGAAGUGCAACUGUGGCCAAAUGGUCAGAUGUCUCAUUAACAGACACCCCGUCCACUUUUGCCGCUACAUAUCGCUUGGUAUAAUCUUGUUAUCUCUAGCACAAUUUUGCAUGAAAUGAUUUUGAGGUAUAAGCCUAUUGAUUUGCAUAAUAUUUAUGUAUUUUUCAAGCAAAUUGGAUAUCGUUUCGAACCAAAGGACAUGAAGGCAUUUCUCGAUCGGCGUUGCAUAGUUUUCCGUUAUGAUAUGACACAUCCAUCCCGCCAAAGUGAACGCCACAUUUUAAAAAGUAAAUCAAAGGAUAAAAAAAAAUCACUCGAAACAUAACAAAAAAAUAUAUAUGUAUAGAAAAAAUUUAUGAUUUAAAUUGGAAACUUUGAAGUAAGUUAAGUUAGUCAGCCCUCGUUAAUGUUAGAUACUAUUUUCAUCAAAGUAAUGUAUCAGGGAAGCAUCCCUUUUUGUGUCAUAGUAAAGAUCGCGACAGAUAAGUGUAGCAAUAAACAUCUGAAAACUACAAACUCUUCCCUCGUAAAGGAAAAUUUAUUCCAAAAAUUACCCGGACACAGUGGUCUUGAAGCAACCAUAGCUAUGACUAAAAUGCCAACCAAAACGGCUUACAUAACUGUCUUUGUACAUAAUCAUAGAUCAAAAUUUCGUUGAAAAUAAAAUUCCAUCUGCUCCUAUGCUUAAAAUAUUAUAAAAUGUUGAUCUAGAACUUUCCAAAUCUAGUUAUAUAAUCGCGAAGGUCUAUGGUAAUAUAAUUAUAACACUUUCUUACGUUAUAAGCAUAAAAUAUUUUAACUUAGUUAUUCAAGAGAUAAUAUUACA
This is a long non-coding RNA of Rhagoletis pomonella (apple maggot), 1066 nucleotides long. RefSeq lists it as uncharacterized. The record is from RefSeq and is a predicted model, not a curated record. NCBI's taxonomy places the organism in Eukaryota, Metazoa, Arthropoda, Insecta, Diptera, Tephritidae. The transcript has 3 exons.